Molecule: long non-coding RNA, 586 nt
Filed under: Marmota monax (woodchuck)
Lineage: Eukaryota; Metazoa; Chordata; Mammalia; Rodentia; Sciuridae
Source: RNAcentral
AUGUACUAGUGCUUUUAAAAUUAAUUAUAAAGUAAAGAUGAAUGUUCCUUAAUUUUCAAGUUUAUAUUUGAAUGAUAAAUUACUGUAUUUUGAUGUGUAAUGGGCAUUCCCUAUAAAUAUCUUUCAACUGUGACAGUGUUUUUUGAUGUUGUCCUGUUACACCAAGAUCCGCAAAGAACUUGUUAAUAGCGGUAGCCAGACGUUCAUUGCUUGUUACCCAUUUGAUAAUAAAAAUUUUAUUUUUCAGUGACACAGGCAUAUAAAAUGUCAACUGAUUAUAUAGUAUAUUUUGUAGAAAUCAAUAUAAUACCCUUACUCUCUUUCCUUUGUUCUCCCAUUUUAUACUUGCAAAAGAACCAUUUUUAUCUGUAAACUUGGGUAUUUACUUGCUUAAUUUAAGAUACUAUGCUUAUACUCUUUCAGUGGGUUUUUUUUUAAUGGACACAAUACCUUUAUUUAAAAAAAUUUUUUUUUAGUUGUUGAUAGGUCUUUAUUUUAUUUAUUUAUUUAUAUGUGGUGCUGAGGAUUGAACCCAGUGCCUCACACAUGCCAAGUAAGAGCUCUGCCUCUGAGCCACAGCCCUAGC